UUUCCGUAGGUGAACCUGCGGAAGGAUCAUUAUUGUAUAACCGAGGUGCGAGGGCUGUCGCUGACCCGAAAGGUCGUGCACGCCCGAGUGCCCUCACACACAUCCAUCUCACCCCUAUGUGCACCACCGCGUGGGUCCCUCUUUGGCUUGUUCGGAGGGGGGCUUACGUUUUCACACAAACUUUGUAUGCAGUGUAGAAUGUAUUUUUGUUUUUGCGAUCACGCAAUCAAUACAACUUUCAACAACGGAUCUCUUGGCUCUC
Molecule: unclassified non-coding RNA, 262 nt
Filed under: plant metagenome
Description: partial contains small subunit ribosomal RNA, internal transcribed spacer 1, and 5.8S ribosomal RNA
Source: RNAcentral